Molecule: long non-coding RNA, 795 nt
Organism: Zeugodacus cucurbitae (melon fly)
Lineage: Eukaryota; Metazoa; Arthropoda; Insecta; Diptera; Tephritidae
Exons: 2
Source: RefSeq, a predicted model, not a curated record
UUUUGUUAAUUAUAUAACAGGACUGUUGCGGCUAAUUUACUUAUGAUGUCAAACGUAUAUUGAAAAUUUUGAAAGUCAAAUAAAUAAUAUAGCAAACAGUUGAAAUGUCUGCUUUGAUUUAGCACAUUAACUUCAAUCACGCAUUUCACAUUCUGACGCAUCAUAUUUUACUGAACAUAACACUUGACGACGUGAUGAUUUGAUUCAGCAGGGGUGUACAAAAUUACUGGAAAAUGCAGGAUUUUUGACAAAAUGAAGAGAACUUAAUUUGUUUCCACGCCUGCGCUAUCUUAUAAAGCCAAGGGUGUUAUACUUAUGUCUUAAUAUAUAUGUACAUAUGUAUAAAUAAAACAUUUAAAAUUCAUUAGUAUACAAGUAAACAGAUCAAAAACAAAAACCCGUUUGCUAAAUUUCAUAUCAUAUUAAAUCUUCGUAAUACUCACUUUAUGACAAAUCGAACUUCAAAUAUUUCUAUACAUAUAUAUGUAUGUAUUUUUAUAUUUACUAAAAUGCUAAUGGCCUUUUUAACUAUGACAAUCUAAGUGGACAGAGGAAGAAAACUAUUCCAAACGGCAUCGGUCUCGUGACGCAGUUUUUGCAAAUACUAUACGAUACAGCUUCAGAAAAUACAGUUCAUUUACCCGGUUUUAAAAAAUAUAUUUAUCUAUCGCGUGAAAAAUUCUCGCUUUACGUUUCACAAAAUUACUAUGCACAAUAGUUCAAAAUUUUACAAUUCUAAGCUGAAAUUAAGCUCGCUAUUAUUUUGCCAAACACAACUUCCUAUCACUUCGCAAA